GACGAACGCUGGCGGCGUGCUUAACACAUGCAAGUCGAACGGACAGACAGAGAGCUUGCUCUCUUGAAGUUAGUGGCGGACGGGUGAGUAACGCGUAAUCAACCUGCCCUUCAGAGGGGGAUAACAACGGGAAACCGUUGCUAAUACCGCGUACGAUUCAUGGACGGCAUCGUUUAUGAAUGAAAGGUGGCCUCUAUGUAUAAGCUAUCGCUGAAGGAGGGGAUUGCGUCUGAUUAGCUAGUUGGAGGGGUAACGGCCCACCAAGGCAAUGAUCAGUAGCCGGUCUGAGAGGAUGAACGGCCACAUUGGGACUGAGACACGGCCCAAACUCCUACGGGAGGCAGCAGUGGGGAAUCUUCCGCAAUGGACGAAAGUCUGACGGAGCAACGCCGCGUGAGUGAUGAAGGUCUUCGGAUUGUAAAGCUCUGUUAAUCGGGACGAAAGAGUUCUGCGUGAAUAAUGCAGAAAAGUGACGGUACCGGAAUAGAAAGCCACGGCUAACUACGUGCCAGCAGCCGCCGUAA
RNAcentral lists this ribosomal RNA (524 nucleotides) under uncultured bacterium. Its description in RNAcentral is "partial 16S ribosomal RNA". It matches the Rfam family "Bacterial small subunit ribosomal RNA", at positions 28 to 523 of the family's 1533-position model. The record is from RNAcentral.